UACGUAGGGUGCAAGCGUUAAUCGGAAUUACUGGGCGUAAAGCGUGCGCAGGCGGUUUUGUAAGUCUGUCGUGAAAUCCCCGGGCUCAACCUGGGAAUUGCGAUGGAGACUGCAAGGCUAGAAUCUGGCAGAGGGGGGUAGAAUUCCACGUGUGAGCAGUGAAAUGCGUAGAGAUGUGGAGGAACACCGAUGGCGAAGGCAGCCCCCUGGGUCAAGAUUGACGCUCAUGCACGAAAGCGUGGGAGCAACAGGAUAGAAACCC
This 262-nucleotide ribosomal RNA is filed under the name uncultured bacterium. Its description in RNAcentral is "partial 16S ribosomal RNA". It matches the Rfam family "Bacterial small subunit ribosomal RNA", at positions 524 to 787 of the family's 1533-position model. The record is from RNAcentral.